CGACCUGUAUCCAGUCAGGAGUUUGCACAGGUGCUGCAUGGCUGUCGUCAGCUCGUGCCGUGAGGUGUUUAGGGUUCAAGUCCUGCAACGAGCGCAACCCUCGUCGCUAGUUGUUUUCUCUAGCGAUACUGCCCGUAUAACGUGGAGGAAGGUGGGGAUGACGUCAAGUCAGCAUGGCCCUUACAUCCUGGGCUACACACACGCUACAAUGGGUGAUACAACAGGUUGCGAUAGAGUAAUCUGGAGCCAAUCCCUAAAAUCAUCCUCAGUACGGAUUGCAGGCUGCAACUGCCUGCAUGAAGUUGGAGUUGCUAGUAAACGCAGGUCAGCACACUGCGUUGAAUACGUUCUCGGGCCUU
This 359-nucleotide ribosomal RNA is filed under the name uncultured Chloroflexota bacterium. RNAcentral describes it as "bacterial SSU rRNA". It matches the Rfam family "Bacterial small subunit ribosomal RNA", at positions 1012 to 1382 of the family's 1533-position model. Lineage: Bacteria; Bacillati; Chloroflexota. The record is from RNAcentral.